Molecule: non-coding RNA, 231 nt
Organism: Cinara cedri
Lineage: Eukaryota; Metazoa; Arthropoda; Insecta; Hemiptera; Aphididae
Source: the annotation of a GenBank genome assembly
GACGGUGGCAGCGGCGUUGUCACACUUGUUGCGCCGAAUUCGUUUAAUAUUCUCGUCACGGUACGACAACAAGACGGCCGCGAAACAACAGUAAUUAUGCGUUUAUAAUAAUAUUUUAUUACACGAACACGCGCCGUACGAAACGAACGCGCGAAGAAUGCGAGAAAAAAAAGAAAAAAAACAACGAUCCGAUACCGGGGACUGCCGACUGGCACGGCCGCGACUGUUGCG